Molecule: ribosomal RNA, 301 nt
Filed under: uncultured bacterium
Lineage: Bacteria
Description: partial 16S ribosomal RNA
Rfam family: Bacterial small subunit ribosomal RNA
Source: RNAcentral
CAGUCGCCACGGUAAUACGUAGGGUGCGAGCGUUAAUCGGAAUUACUGGGCGUAAAGCGUGCGCAGGCGGUUUUGUAAGACAGGCGUGAAAUCCCCGGGCUCAACCUGGGAAUGGCGCUUGUGACUGCAAAGCUAGAGUGCGGCAGAGGGGGAUGGAAUUCCGCGUGUAGCAGUGAAAUGCGUAGAUAUGCGGAGGAACACCGAUGGCGAAGGCAAUCCCCUGGGCCUGCACUGACGCUCAUGCACGAAAGCGUGGGGAGCAAACAGGGUUAGAUACCCGUGUAGUCCCUGUCUCUUAUAC